This 964-nucleotide long non-coding RNA is filed under the name Homo sapiens (human). Its description in RNAcentral is "HSALNT0157555". Lineage: Eukaryota; Metazoa; Chordata; Mammalia; Primates; Hominidae. The record is from RNAcentral.
CACUUUUAGACACAAUCUGUUCUGGGUCAAUAUUUGUUUCACCUUGGCAAAGCUUCCUAUACAAACCUGUGAUCAUAUGCCUUUGUUUUCUCACUUCAGGUACAAGAGAGGUGAGCACAAGAUGGGCCAAAUAUGAGAUGUGGAAUCAGGAAAAACAGAAAAAGUGGAAGAAAUGGCAAACGUGGACGUGAGAGCAGCUGGGUUUUCUAGCUCUGGGCGUCUGCAGGAAUCAUGUUCCAGGAAGGGCUGGGAGAGGCUGCGGGGAAAAGGAAGGGGUGCAGGGGAGUGUGCCCCACCCUUGCCCUGUGCCUGCAGGUGGGCCGGACUUGGACCCUGCCUGGAUGAUCUGCGAAGAAAUAGGGUUCCAAAAGGGCAGAUCCCAAGACAAUGCCUUAUAAAGGUCCUGGCUAACGUUUCCAUGGCAGCUUGCUGAGUGGCCGAGCUGAUCUCAGCCCUUCCAGGGGUGACUCAUUGACUCCUCCCAAGCUGGAGAGGUGAGAGUUCUUUUCCGGUUUACAUAUCAGGAAGCUGAGGCAUGGAAAGGUAGCUGGAGACCACCCUGGCUGAGCUGUGAUCAGUCGCAUCUAGACUAGUUUGGUGUUUCAGAGCAAGUCUCUCAAAUGCCCUGUGCCUCAAUGCUCUCAUCUGCACGUUGGAAGAAAGAAUUCCUGCUUCCCAGAGCCGUUGGGAGGAGUAACAGAGGUGAAGUGUGUAAAGUACACACGAAAGGAACUCAGCUGACAGCAGCAUCUUCACUGAGUUUCAGAUUUCUGACCCACGGAAAGGCAAGAUAUUCUAAUUCUGCACUGCCCAGUAGGGUGGCCUCUAGCCACAUGUGGCCACUGAGAUCCUGCAGUGUGGCCUGUCCAAGCUGAACCGAACUCUUGGUGGGAAAUGCUCACCAGAUUUGAAGACUUUGUAUGACAGAAUGAACAGAAAUAUCUUGACAUUUUUGUCUCAGGUA